AGUGAACGCUGGCGGUAGACCUAACACAUGCAAGUCGAACGGCAGCACAGUAAGAGCUUGCUCUUACGGGUGGCGAGUGGCGGACGGGUGAGGAAUACAUCGGAAUCUACUUUUUCGUGGGGGAUAACGUAGGGAAGCUUACGCUAAUACCGCAUACGACCUACGGGUGAAAGCAGGGGAUCUUCGGACCUUGCGCGAUUGAAUGAGCCGAUGUCGGAUUGGCUAGUUGGCGGGGUAAAGGCCCACCAAGGCGACGAUCCGUAGCUGGUCUGAGAGGAUGAUCAGCCACACUGGAACUGAGACACGGUCCAGACUCCUACGGGAGGCAGCAGUGGGGAAUAUUGGACAAUGGGCGCAAGCCUGAUCCAGCCAUACCGAGUGGGUGAAGAAGGCCUUCGGGUUGUAAAGCCCUUUUGUUGGGAAAGAAAAGCAGCAGGUUAAUACCCCGCUGUUCUGACGGUACCCAAAGAAUAAGCACCGGCUAACUUCGUG
RNAcentral lists this ribosomal RNA (492 nucleotides) under uncultured bacterium. RNAcentral describes it as "partial 16S ribosomal RNA". It matches the Rfam family "Bacterial small subunit ribosomal RNA", at positions 29 to 507 of the family's 1533-position model. The record is from RNAcentral.